GAAACUGAUGAGGACUCUGGAUUGACACCGAAGCGUCCUAAAUGUCAAAAUAACAUUUCAUUCUGUGUUUUAAAGAAACAUUUGGCAAGCUGUGCAAGUAGCAGGUUAAAGAAAGUUGUAUGAUCUAGACCUCACUCAUAGUCAUACUCCUAAUGAAGUUCAUGAAGGCGGAUCAAGAACUUCAGACAUCUACUUGACCGUUUUUUGAGCUGAACCGCACUACACUUACCCACCAAGCAGUAUGUGACAUUUGUGUGCAGCUGACAGGGAAGAAUAUGAUAUAUUGUAAAUAAAAUAAUAUAAUGUAAAUAAUUAAAUAAAUGAAAAAUAAUUUAAUAUAUUUGUAAUUAAAGUA
Anneissia japonica is the source of this 355-nucleotide long non-coding RNA. RefSeq lists it as uncharacterized. The record is from RefSeq and is a predicted model, not a curated record. The transcript is spliced from 3 exons. NCBI's taxonomy places the organism in Eukaryota, Metazoa, Echinodermata, Crinoidea, Comatulida, Comatulidae.